Molecule: ribosomal RNA, 2837 nt
Filed under: Faecalibacterium prausnitzii
Lineage: Bacteria; Bacillati; Bacillota; Clostridia; Eubacteriales; Oscillospiraceae
Description: bacterial LSU rRNA
Rfam family: Bacterial large subunit ribosomal RNA
Source: RNAcentral
AGGUCAAGCGAACAAGGGCGCAGGGCGAAUGCCUUGGCACUGGGAGCCGAUGAAAGACGUGAUAAGCUGCGAUAAGCUUCGGGGAGCUGCAAAUAAGCAUUGAUCCGGAGAUUUCUGAAUGAGGAAACUCACCUGGGUUCAUACUCAGGUACGUUAUACUGAACUUAAAAAUAGGUAUAUCGAGGGAACCGCCUGAACUGAAACAUCUAAGUAGGGCGAGGAAGAGACAUCAAACGAGAUUCCGUAAGUAGUGGCGAGCGAACGCGGAAGAGGGCAAACCGGGAGGAGAAAUACUUCCGGGGGACGGACCGCAUUUAGGACUUAAGUUGUUAACCGAACGGCAUGGGAAGGCCGGUCAGAGAGUGUGAGAACCACGUAGGUGAAAACGACAAGAGCUGAGCGAGUUCCAGAGUACGGCCAGACACGUGAAACCUGGUCGGAAUACGGGGGGACCACCCUCCAACCCUAAAUACUACCCAGUGACCGAUAGCGUAUAGUACUGUGAAGGAAAGGUGAAAAGCACCCCGGGAGGGGAGUGAAAAAGAACCUGAAACCCUGUGCCUACAAGCACCUAGAGCACGUCAAUGUGUGAUAGGGUACUUUUUGUAGAACGGUCCGGCGAGCGAUUGUAUGCAGCAAGGUUAAGGACUUAAGGUCUGGAGCCGAAGCGAAAGCGAGUUUGAAAAGGGCGUUAAGUUGCAUACAAUGGGCCCGAAACCGGGUGACCUACCCAUGGUCAGGUUGAAGUGGAAGUAAAAUUCCAUGGAGGACCGAACCGACCUCCGUUGAAAAGGCGGCGGAUGAACUGUGGGUAGCGGAGAAAUUCCAAUCGAACCCGGAGAUAGCUGGUUCUCCCCGAAAUAGUUUUAGGACUAGCCUCAAGUUAGAUACCUGGAGGUAAAGCACUGAAUAGCCUAGCGGCCGAGAGGUUAGCGAAGCUUAUCAAACUCAGAAUGCCAGAGUAUUGAUGCUUGGGAGUCAGACAGUGUCAGAUAAAUGUCAUUGUCAAAAGGGAAACAGCCCAGAUCUACAGCUAAGGUCCCAAAGUCAGGUUAAGUGGAAAACGAUGUGAAGAUACGUAGACAACCAGGAUGUUGGCUCAGAAGCAGCCACACAUUCAAAGAGUGCGUAAUAGCUCACUGGUCGAGCGUCUUUGCGCGGAGAAUUUAACGGGGCUAAACCUGACACCGAAGCUUAGGCAAUACAGCAAUGUAUUGGGUAGGGGAGCGUUGUAUACGCGGUGAAACAGUAGCGCAAGCGGCUGUGGAGUGUAUAGAAGUGAGAAUGCCGGAAUGAGUAGCGCGAAUGCAGUGAGAAUCUGCAUGGCCGAAAGCCUCAGGUUUCUGGAGGAAGGUUCGUCCGCUCCAGGUUAGUCGGGAGCUAAGGUGAGGCCUAACGGCGUAGCCGAUGCACAGACGGUAGAGAUUCCGUCACCACCAAAAGAGUUAAACACAGGGACACAUUUGAAGUCUCGGAGCCGGGUGUUGGUUCCGGUAGCGAUCGAGGGAAAUUAGUACCGAAGUCCGGGAUGGAAGAUGGCGAGAAAAGCUGUGUGUAUUUCUGCGGUGCCCGUACCGCAAACCGACACAGGUAGGUAGGAAGAAGAUUCUAAGGCCAACGGGAGAAGGGUUGUUAAGGAACUCGGCAAAUUGACCCCGUAACUUCGGGAGAAGGGGUGCUCCAGAGAUGGAGCCGCAGAGAAUCGGCCCAAGCAACUGUUUACCAAAAACACAGGUUUGUGCUAAAUCGAAAGAUGACGUAUACGAGCUGACGCCUGCCCGGUGCUGGAAGGUUAAGAGGAGAUGUGCAAGCAUUGAAUCGAAGCCCCAGUGAACGGCGGCCGUAACUAUAACGGUCCUAAGGUAGCGAAAUUCCUUGUCAGGUAAGUUCUGACCCGCAUGAAAGGCGUAAUGAUUUGGGCACUGUCUCGACAGCCCGCCCGGCGAAAUUGUAGUACCGGUGAAGAUGCCGGUUACCCGCGACAAGACGGAAAGACCCCAUGGAGCUUUACUGUAGCCUAAUAUUGGGUUUCGAUGUUGCAUGCACAGGAUAGAUGGGACACAGGGAAACAAGUGCUUUGGCAUUUGUGGAGUGGCCGUUGGGAUACCAUCCUUGCGAUAUUGGAAUUCUAACCUGCGCCUUUGAAUCAAGGCGGGGGACAUUGUUAGGUGGGCAGUUUGACUGGGGCGGUCGCCUCCUAAAGAGUAACGGAGGCGUUCAAAGGUUCGCUCAGCUUGAACGGAAAUCAAGCAAAAGAGUGCAAACGCAGAAGCGAGCCUAACUGCGAGACUGACGGGUCGAGCAGUAACGAAAGUUGGAGUUAGUGAUCCGGUGGUAUGUGAGUGGAAAUGCCAUCGCUCAACGGAUAAAAGUUACCCUGGGGAUAACAGGCUGAUCUCCCCCAAGAGUCCACAUCGACGGGGAGGUUUGGCACCUCGAUGUCGGCUCAUCGCAUCCUGGGGCUGUAUUCGGUCCCAAGGGUUUGGCUGUUCGCCAAUUAAAGCGGUACGCGAGCUGGGUUCAGAACGUCGUGAGACAGUUCGGUCCCUAUCUGUCGUGGGCGCAGGAUAUUUGAUGGGAGCUGUUCCUAGUACGAGAGGACCGGAGCGGACGUACCUCUGGCGCACCAGUUGUUCUGCCAAGGGCAUAGCUGGGCAACUAUGUACGGAUCGGAUAAACGCUGAAAGCAUCUAAGCGUGAAGCCGACCCAAAGAUAAGAUAUCCCAUUGUUUCAAACAAGUAAGACCCCUUGAAGACUACAAGGUUGAUAGGCACGAUGUGUAAGUGGAGCGAUCCAUUCAGCAAGCGUGUACUAAUAGGUCGAGGGCUUGACCACA